RNAcentral lists this long non-coding RNA (202 nucleotides) under Manihot esculenta (cassava). Its description in RNAcentral is "long non-coding RNA (MESC_LNC006631)". Lineage: Eukaryota; Viridiplantae; Streptophyta; Magnoliopsida; Malpighiales; Euphorbiaceae. The record is from RNAcentral.
GCAGAGUUCAGGUCGUUGUGGGUGCUAUUGUUUUCAGUGGGGUUAGCCAUUGUGGAUCUCAGUGGGUUUUGCAAGAAUGGAAACUCCGGUGAUGAAAAGAUCAACCUCGUUUCCCACAGACGGCGCCAAUUGAUGAUCUGAGAUCCAGAGAAAUAGGGUUUUUACAAUGGGCUCUGUAAAACUUUAGAAAAAACUUAAACCU